Molecule: transfer RNA, 73 nt
Filed under: Curtobacterium sp. MCBD17_040
Lineage: Bacteria; Bacillati; Actinomycetota; Actinomycetes; Micrococcales; Microbacteriaceae
Rfam family: tRNA
About the family: Transfer RNA (tRNA) molecules are approximately 80 nucleotides in length.
Source: Rfam by way of RNAcentral
GCCUCUCUAGCUCAGUGGAUAGAGCACCGCACUACGGAUGCGGGAGUCGGGGGUUCGAAUCCCUCGAGGGGCA